GCAGUCGAACGCGUCUUGGUUAUUGAUGUUAAGUGCUUGCAUUUAAUUGAUUUAACAUUGAGACGAGUGGCGAACUGGUGAGUAACACGUGGGUAACCUGCCCUUGAAGUAGGGGAUAACACUUGGAAACAGGUGCUAAUACCGUAUAACAACCAAAACCACCUGGUUUUGGUUUAAAAGAUGGCUUCGGCUAUCACUUUAGGAUGGACCCGCGGCGUAUUAGCUUGUUGGUAAGGUAACGGCCUACCAAGGCAAUGAUACGUAGCCGACCUGAGAGGGUAAUCGGCCACAUUGGGACUGAGACACGGCCCAAACUCCUACGGGAGGCAGCAGUAGGGAAUCUUCCACAAUGGACGAAAGUCUGAUGGAGCAACGCCGCGUGAGUGAUGAAGGGUUUCGGCUCGUAAAACUCUGUUGUUGGAGAAGAACAGGUGUGAGAGUAACUGUUCAUAUCUUGACGGUAUCCAACCAGAAAGCCACGGCUAACUACGUGCCAGCAGCCGCGGUAAUACGUAGGUGGCAAGCGUUGUCCGGAUUUAUUGGGCGUAAAGCGAGCGCAGGCGGUUUCUUAGGUCUGAUGUGAAAGCCUUCGGCUUAACCGGAGAAGUGCAUCGGAAACCAGGAGACUUGAGUGCAGAAGAGGACAGUGGAACUCCAUGUGUAGCGGUGAAAUGCGUAGAUAUAUGGAAGAACACCAGUGGCGAAGGCGGCUGUCUGGUCUGUAACUGACGCUGAGGCUCGAAAGCAUGGGUAGCGAACAGGAUUAGAUACCCUGGUAGUCCAUGCCGUAAACGAUGAGUGCUAAGUGUUGGAGGGUUUCCGCCCUUCAGUACUGCAGCUAACGCAUUA
This 849-nucleotide ribosomal RNA is filed under the name uncultured bacterium. Its description in RNAcentral is "bacterial SSU rRNA". It matches the Rfam family "Bacterial small subunit ribosomal RNA", at positions 29 to 862 of the family's 1533-position model. The record is from RNAcentral.